RNAcentral lists this ribosomal RNA (459 nucleotides) under uncultured bacterium. RNAcentral describes it as "partial 16S ribosomal RNA". It matches the Rfam family "Bacterial small subunit ribosomal RNA", at positions 338 to 795 of the family's 1533-position model. The record is from RNAcentral.
CCUACAGGAUGCUGCAGUGAGGAAUAUUGGUCAAUGGCCGGACGGCUGAACCAGCCAAGCCGCGUGAAGGACGAAGGUGCCAAGCAUUGUAAACUUCUUUUGUCAAGGGACAAAAUCAGGCUCGAGAGCCUGACCGAGGGUACUUGAAGAAAAAGCAUCGGCUAACUCCGUGCCAGCAGCCGCGGUAAGACGGAGGAUGCGAGCGUUAUCCGGAUGUAGUGGGUUUAAAGGGUGCGUAGGCGGACUGUUAAGUCAGCGGUAAAAGCCCGGGGCUCACCCCCGGCGAGCCGUUGAAACUGGCUGUCUUGAGAUGUCGAGAGGUAUGCGGAAUGCGCAGGGUAGCGGUGAAAUGCUUAGAUAUUGCGCAGAACUCCGAUUGCGAAGGCAGCAUACCGGCGGCGAUCUGACGCUGAGGCACGAAAGCGUGGGUAUCGAACAGGAUUAGAUACCCGGGUAGUC